Non-coding RNA from Pelobates cultripes (western spadefoot toad), 376 nucleotides. Lineage: Eukaryota; Metazoa; Chordata; Amphibia; Anura; Pelobatidae. The record is from the annotation of a GenBank genome assembly.
CUUAAAGGACCACUCUAGGCACCCAGACCACUUCAGCUUAAUGAAGUGGUCUGGGUGCCAGGUCCAGCUAGGGUUAACCCAUUUUUUCAUAAACAUAGCAGUUUCAGAGAAACUCAUUGUCUCAUUGACAGCCACUAGAGGCGCUUGCGUGCUUCUCACUGUGAUUUUCACAGUGAGAGCACGCCAGCGUCCAUAGGAAAGCAUUAUGAAUGCUUUCCUAUGCGACCGGCUGAAUGCGCGCGCAGCUCUUGCCGCGCGUGCGCAUUCAGCCGACGGGGCGGAACGGAGGAGGAGAGAAGGAGGAGAGCUCUCCGCCCAGUGCUGGAAAAAGGUAAGUUUAAACCCCUUUCCCCCUUCCAGAGCCGGGCGGGAGGGG